RNAcentral lists this long non-coding RNA (913 nucleotides) under Marmota monax (woodchuck). Lineage: Eukaryota; Metazoa; Chordata; Mammalia; Rodentia; Sciuridae. The record is from RNAcentral.
ACUGAAUGAUGCAUGACUGUGGCAAUUUCUUAAAAUAAGACAAGAGUGAAAUCUUUCACAUUGAAUGACUCUUCUUUCAAAAGAGUUUUCUCCAUAGCAUGCAAUGGAAUUUGGUACCAUAUUAUCCAAUUGGCACUUUUUUCAAAAUUGGAAUCAAUCUUUUUAAACCCUGCUACUUACUGUUUUAUUAACAAAUUUUAGUUAUCAUUCUAAGUAUUUUGUUGUUGUUUCAACAAUGUUCACAGCAUCUUCACCAAGAAAUCACUUUCUUUGCUCAUCUAUAAAAAGCAAUUCCUCACCCACAAAAGUCUUAUUAUGAGAUGGUAGCAAUUCAGUUAUGUCUUUAAACUCUGCUUCUAAUUCUAGUUCUCUCGCUAUUUCUGCUACAUCUGCUAUUAUGCCCCCACUGAAGUCUCAAACCCCUCAAUGCAAUCCAUGAGGGUUACCCUCAUGUUAAUGGAAUCAACUUAUGUUGGUGCUGGUAUUUUGACCUCCUUCCAUGAAUCACAAAUGUUCUUCAUGGCACCUAGAAUGAUAAAUCUUUCCCAGAAGGUUUUCAAUUUACUUUGCUCAAAUCCAUCAGAAGAAUGACUAUCUAUGACAGCUAUCACCUUAUAAAAUGAAUUUCAUAAUAAGACUUGAAAGUAAAAAUUAUUUCUUGAUAUAUAGCUACAGAAUGGAUGUUGUGUUAGCAGACAUGAAAACAACAUUAAUCUCAUAUAGCUCCAUCAGAACUCUUGGGAGACAAGGUGCAUUGUCAAUGAGCAGUAAUAUUUUUUAAAGAAUCUAUUUUUAGCUAUGCGAGGUAGUACAUGCCUGUAGUCCCAGCUUCUUGGGAGGCCAAGAAGAAAGUGUCACUUGAGUUCAUGAGUUCAUGAGCUCACAAGUUUGAAACCAGACUGGGCAAAAUAGU